This 332-nucleotide unclassified non-coding RNA is filed under the name Hevea brasiliensis (rubber tree). Lineage: Eukaryota; Viridiplantae; Streptophyta; Magnoliopsida; Malpighiales; Euphorbiaceae. The record is from RNAcentral.
CAAUCCUCAAGUAAACCUUCACUUAUAUCAUCGAUUGUCUGUCCUUUGUGCAGUCUUAGAUAAACAUGAGCAGAAGACAUUUUGUCCACAUGGAACCAAAUGUCUUCGGGGAAACCGUAUUUGAUAAGCUCCUCGUUCUCGUACUUGUCGAGGCCCAUAAAAAUGGUGUAAUCUCCUACCUCCGGACGAGCUUUGAAAUAGAACACCAUUUUUCCUUUUUUCCUUCUCCUUCUGCACCUCUUCCUCUCUCUCUCUCUCUCUCUCACUUUCGGUGUCCUUUUUGAAAAUCAAAAUUCCCAAUCUCUGAAUGCUGUUUCGUUAGGGUUUUCUUU